GGGGCGAUGCUUUCGGCGGCUGCUGCUGCGAGUGCGGCUGCAAACAAAGGGAGACGCCGCGGAGGCGCUUCGCCUCCCUCCCGAUCCUGCAUGAAGCACGCAGGAAAAUAAAGAUUAAGAGAAGGCCUUGGAGCAGAUCGCUGCCUCGAUGGCCAAUCAAGAAUUGGAGUUUAACCUCUGAGAAAUGUGCCAAAAAAAGGAAGCCAAACAGCCAGCUACCGCUUUCAAAUCGGAGAUGUGUGGCGUGAAGGAGAAAAGCCGC
Molecule: long non-coding RNA, 262 nt
Organism: Eublepharis macularius
Lineage: Eukaryota; Metazoa; Chordata; Lepidosauria; Squamata; Eublepharidae
Exons: 3
Source: RefSeq, a predicted model, not a curated record